Molecule: long non-coding RNA, 489 nt
Filed under: Jatropha curcas
Lineage: Eukaryota; Viridiplantae; Streptophyta; Magnoliopsida; Malpighiales; Euphorbiaceae
Description: long non-coding RNA (JCUR_LNC001584)
Source: RNAcentral
AAAAAGCUCUUUGCCCACCACCUUUGAACAAGGAAAUGCUCUUUUUAAUCGUUGUUGAGCACGCAUGUUUAAGUUUCAAGUUUGGGUGCGAAUGCAUUUUUGUUUCGUGUUUAUGUUUGUGUUUUGGAAUAAAUAGUCAUAGCGACUUAUAUGUAAUUAGUCGUUGUGAUGUCGAAAAAAAAAUUCCAGAAAAAAAAAGGGAAAGAAAAUCAGAAAAGAAAUAGAAAAAAAGAAAAAAAAAAAAGGAAGAGAGAAUAAAUAAACAGCAGCCAAAAAAAAAAGGGGGAAAAAUAGAGGAAAAGGCUGCAAUGUUAUCUUUUGUUUUGUGAAGUUGCAUUUGUUGCCAUCUAAGCGCAUGUUUAAGUUUCAAGUUUGGGUGCGAAUGCAUUUUUGUUUCGUGUUUAUGUUUGUGUUUUGGAAUAAAUAGUCAUAGCGACUUAUAUGUAAUUAGUCGUUGUGAUGUCGAAAAAAAAAAUUCCAGAAAAAAAA